The sequence is a ribosomal RNA, 2966 nucleotides long. It matches the Rfam family "Archaeal large subunit ribosomal RNA".
CUAUGUCCCAAAAGCCAACUGAAGGAUGGCUCGGUUUUGGACGCCGACGAAGGUCGUGGCAAGCUGCGAAAAGCCCGGGCGAGGUGCAUGCAGCCGUAGAACCCGGGAUUGCCUAAUGCGGACUCGUGUCGGCUUCGGCCGGCGAUCCCUAAUGGGAUUGGGAACGCGGGGAACUGAAACAUCUUAGUACCCGUAGGAAAAGAAAGCAACUGCGAUGCCGUUAGUAAAUGCGAUUGAAACCGGCAGAGAGCGUAGCGAACCCGCUGUAGGAAUACAGUGGGGAUGUGCUGUUCAGGUACGACCAACCUUCCUUAGUCCAAGUGUCCUGGAAAGGACCACCAGAGAGGGUGAUAGUCCCGUGGAUCAUGGGAAAAAGGUCGAGUCCUGUACAAAGAGUACCGUUGUCUGAGAUGAUAGCGGGAAUACGGGAGGAUCUCCUCCUAACUCUAAACACGUCCAAAGUCCGAUAGUGGACUAGUAUGGUGACAGAAAGCUGAAAAGUACCCCUACCAGGGGGUUAAAAGAGCCUGAAACCAGUUGGUUACAGCCUGACACGGCGUGAAAGGGCCUUUUCUGAAGGAACAGAUCGAGAGGUCUAAGUACGAAGAAAAGGAGCCAGCGUCGUGUCGUACGUUUUGAAAAACGGGGCAGGGAGUUUAUUUUCGUGGCGAGGUUAACCGUCCAUCGGCGGGAAACCAUAGCGAAAGCAACAAGCCCGCAGACACCUUGUGUGUCCAGGGGCGCCGUGCGAAAGCGCGGGGAGUCACGAGGAUAAGACCCGAAGCCCCUCGAACUACUCGUGGGUAAGGCGAAGCCCCCCGAAAGGGGGGUGGAGGCCUGUUAGCGUUGAUGUGCACAAACUCUCGCGUGACCUGCGAGUAGGGGUGAAAAGCCAAUCGAGAGGGGCGAUAGCUGGUUCCUCCCGAAGUGAGUCUAAGCUCAGCCCGAUCUGAGGUAGGUAGGAAGGUAAAGCACUGAUUGGGAAGUUGAGAGGCGAGAGCCUCGGCUUCCCUGUCAAACUCAGAAUAUCUUACCGCCGUUGAAGAACGGAGUUAGAGUGCCCGGCGUAAGGCCGGUACUCGAGAGGGAAUGAGCCCAUACCGUGGUUAAGGUCCCCAAAUCCUGACUAAGUCACGAAGGUUGUUUCCGACCAUAAACAGUGGGAAGGUUGGCUUAGAAGCAGCCACCCUUUAAAGAGUUCGUAACAGAUCACCCACCUAGGUCGGGAGCGCCCACAAUUCACGGGAGUAAGUUAGGUACCGAGACCUCGGAUCAGUUCCAGUUGGAACUGGUAGUAGGGAGGCGCUCCGCCGGGGCGGAAGCAGGGCCGUGAGGUCCUGUGGACCGGGUGGAGACGAGAAUCCUGCCGGUAGUAGCAGCAAAGCUGGGUUAGAGUCCCAGCCGCCUGAAGAGCAAGGUUUCCCCAGCAAUGUCAAUCAACUGGGGGUUAGCCGGUCCUAAGCCCGUCCUUAGUACGAAACGGGCAAAAGGGAAGCAGGUUAAUAUUCCUGCGCCAUCUUCGAUUAAGCUCGUCCUUGACGUCUAGGGAUAGUUCGAAUACCACCCUCGUGGUAUCGAACCGUUGAAACUUCUCGACCGUAAUGGAUAGACAGAAGUGAAAGCGGGAAAGGCUCCCUGUACUGGGAGUUCGGACGAAUCCUAGGACCCAUGAAAAGAGGAUUGAGUUACUCGUAGGUGACCGUACCCAGAACCGACACAGGUGCUCUCCCGGAGAAAGGGAAGGCGUUUGGGAUAAUCUAGUUCAGGGAAUUCGGCAAUUUGGCCCUGUACCUUCGGAAGAAGGGGUGCCUGACCUGCAAGGGUCAGGUCGCAGUGACCAAGGAAGCUCGACUGUUUAACAAAAACAGAGCUGGCUGCCAGUCCGAAAGGAUUUGUACAGCUGGUGAGGCCUGCCCAGUGCGGGUGUGUUAAGCUCCCUUACAAGGGAGUGAAGCCCCCGUAAACGGCGGCGAUAACUCUGAUCGUCUUAAGGUAGCGUAGUCCCUUGCCGAUUCAAUGUCGGCCUGCAUUAAUGGCUUAACGAGGCUUCCGCUGUCCCGAACUAGAUCCUGGCGAACCCGCCAUUUGGGUGCAUAGGCCCAAGACUCCCAGUGGGAAGGAAAGACCCCGUGGAGCUUUACUGUAGCUUUCUGCUGCGGUGUGGUCCCUCCAGUAGAGUGUAGGUAGGAGCCGUUACACAGGCACCCGCGCCAGCGGGCCGCCGAGGCGUCAAUGGAACACUACCCUGGAGGAACUGCGCCGCUAACCUGUGAGAAAUGACUCGCGGGAACACCGGAAGGUGGACAGUUUGGCUGGGGCGGUACGCCUUCGACAGUUGAUCGAAGGUGCUCAAAGGUCGGCUCAUCCUGGUCGGAAAUCAGGAGUAGAGUGCAAGGGCAAAAGCCGGCUUGACUGGAUUCUAACAAACACGGAAUUCAGGGGCGAAAGCCUGACCUAGCGAACCCCCGGGUCCCUGAGAUGGGGGCCGGGGCUGUCAGAAAAGCUACCCCGGGGAUAAUGGAGUUGUGACGGCCGAAAGCCCGUACUGACGCCGUCGCUUGCUUCGUCGAUGUCGGCUUGCCUCAUCCUGGCCGUGCAGCAGCGGCCAAGGGUAGGGGUGUUCACCCGUUAAAGAGGUACGUUAGCUGGGUUCAGAACGGCGUAAGCCAGUUCGGUCCAUAUCUACUGGGAGUGUCUGUACCUUUGGGUGUCGCCUGAGAGGAAGAGGGGUGAGUACGAAAGGAACACCUCUCUGAGGCCACUGGUCUACCGGUUGUCCGUGAGGGCACUGCCGGGUAGCUACGCCUCACACUGAUAAGAGCUGAAAGCAUCUAAGCUCGAAGUAGCCCUCAAAACCAGGCGACGCUAGGCUCUCCAUAGACGAGGAGUUUGAUAGGCCGGGGGUGUAAGCUGGAAGGCAACGACCAGUUCAGCUCACCGGUACUAAUCGCCGUAUUGGGCCAUAG